Molecule: ribosomal RNA, 393 nt
Filed under: uncultured bacterium
Lineage: Bacteria
Description: partial 16S ribosomal RNA
Rfam family: Bacterial small subunit ribosomal RNA
Source: RNAcentral
AUACGGAGGAUCCGAGCGUUAUCCGGAUUUAUUGGGUUUAAAGGGCGCGUAGGUGGACAGUUAAGUCAGUUGUGAAAGUUUGCGGCUCAACCGUAAAAUUGCAGUUGAUACUGGUUGUCUUGAGUACAGUAGAGGUGGGCGGAAUUCGUGGUGUAGCGGUGAAAUGCUUAGAUAUCACGAAGAACUCCGAUUGCGAAGGCAGCUCACUGGACUGCAACUGACACUGAUGCUCGAAAGUGUGGGUAUCAAACAGGAUUAGAUACCCUGGUAGUCCACACAGUAAACGAUGAAUACUCGCUGUUUGCGAUAUACAGUAAGCGGCCAAGCGAAAGCGUUAAGUAUUCCACCUGGGGAGUACGCCGGCAACGGUGAAACUCAAAGGAAUUGGCGGGG